GCGCGGGUGGAGAAACGGUAGACUCGCCAUCUUGAGGUGGUGGUGCCGCAAGGCAUGGGGGUUCAAGUCCCCCCCCGCGCACAA
This 84-nucleotide transfer RNA is filed under the name Candidatus Nomurabacteria bacterium RIFCSPHIGHO2_02_FULL_35_13. Its description in RNAcentral is "tRNA-Leu". It matches the Rfam family "tRNA". Rfam says of the family: Transfer RNA (tRNA) molecules are approximately 80 nucleotides in length. The record is from RNAcentral. Lineage: Bacteria; Candidatus Nomuraibacteriota.